CCCUUAGAUGUUCUGGGCUGCACGCGCGCUACACUGACGGAGCCAGCGAGCCUUGUCCUUCGCCGGAAGGUGCGGGUAAUCUUGCUAACCUCCGUCGUGCUGGGGAUAGAUGGUUGCAAUUAUUGAUCUUCAACGAGGAAUUCCUAGUAAGCGCAAGUCAUCAGCUUGCGUUGAUUACGUCCCUGCCCUUUGUACACACCGCCCGUCGCACCUACCGAUUGAAUGGUCCGGUGAAAUCUCGGGACGGCGGCUUGGUCGCUUGCGUCCGACUGCUGAAACUUGAUUAAACCAUAUCAUUUAGAGGAAGGUGAAGUCGUAACA
This 321-nucleotide ribosomal RNA is filed under the name uncultured eukaryote. RNAcentral's name for it is "partial 18S ribosomal RNA". It matches the Rfam family "Eukaryotic small subunit ribosomal RNA", at positions 1470 to 1796 of the family's 1831-position model. The record is from RNAcentral.